This 445-nucleotide ribosomal RNA is filed under the name uncultured bacterium. Its description in RNAcentral is "bacterial SSU rRNA". It matches the Rfam family "Bacterial small subunit ribosomal RNA", at positions 354 to 796 of the family's 1533-position model. The record is from RNAcentral.
GUAAGGAAUAUUGGACAAUGGCCGCAAGGCUGAUCCAGCCAUGCCGCGUGCAGGAUGAAGGUGCUCUGCAUUGUAAACUGCUUUUGUUCGGGAAUAAACCCUUUCACGUGUGAGAGGUUGAAUGUACCGAAAGAAUAAGGGACGGCUAACUUCGUGCCAGCAGCCGCGGUAAUACGAAGGUCCCAAGCGUUAUCCGGAUUUAUUGGGUUUAAAGGGUGCGUAGGCGGGUUAUUAAGUCAGUGGUGAAAGCUCCCAGCUCAACUGGGAAACUGCCAUUGAUACUGAUAGUCUUGAGUAUGAUUGAAGUGGGCGGAAUGUGUCAUGUAGCGGUGAAAUGCUUAGAUAUGACACAGAACACCGAUUGCGAAGGCAGCUCACUAAGCCAUAACUGACGCUGAUGCACGAAAGCGUGGGGAGCAAACAGGAUUAGAAACCCUGGUAGUCC